This is an RNA transcript of Balaenoptera musculus (blue whale), 6444 nucleotides long. It is a transcript of the gene named VPS26 endosomal protein sorting factor C, with no coding region annotated. Lineage: Eukaryota; Metazoa; Chordata; Mammalia; Artiodactyla; Balaenopteridae. The transcript is spliced from 9 exons. The record is from RefSeq and is a predicted model, not a curated record.
GGCCCGGCGGCGGGGGCGGGGCGGCCGAGCCGCCCGCCAAUCCACGCUUUGCAGGCAGGGAGCGCGGGGCCGCGGAACGGGCAAGGAGAACUGCCUAGCCGAGGACGGACACAAGGCCUCCGUCUUCAGAGCCCCCGAAAGAAAGCGAGGGAGGACGAGAGACGACGAGAGGAAGGGAUGGGAAGGGAAGACAGCCCCCGGUUAUCACCGCCUUAAAGCCAACUCAACAGCGUAACGCCUCUUUGCACCGCACAGCCUGACGGGAGCCUCAGCCUCUAGGUACAGGCUGCGCCCGCAACGCGCCCCUGACACCGCCCCCUGCCGCGGGGCACGCUGGGAGAGCCGAGUUUCCCCCUCCCUCUAGUAAAUGGGCGAGCAGAAGGGUAUUUCCGGUGUUAACGACUAUCUUUACGGAAGGGGUGGGGUCAAUCCUGUCCUGCCCUUCCUGGCCGGCGGGGCGAAGACUGACAUUCUUCGGCAACCGCUAAGGCCCGCCCCUGCACCGGAAGGAGGAAGGCGGGGGAGUCGAACAGGCGUCAGGCGCGGGGUCACGUGUCGCAACUACUGGUGGAGAGAAGAAAAGGGCGGGACCCCGGACGGAGGGGCGGGGUGCCCUCCUUUCCCUUGGGUCACGCGCGGCAGGAAGUGGUUCCCGAAACGGAGUAUUCGAGAUGGGGACCGCCCUGGACAUUAAGGUUAAAAGAGCGAACAAGGUUUAUCACGCCGGGGAAAUGCUCUCCGGGGUGGUGGUCGUAUCUGGGAAGGAUUCGGUCCAGCACCAGGGAGUCUCCUUGACAGUGGAAGGAACCGUGAACCUCCAACUCAGCGCCAAGAGUGUGGGUGUGUUCGAAGCAUUCUAUAAUUCUGUUAAGCCCAUCCAGAUUAUCAACAGUACCAUCGAAAUGGUGAAACCAGGAAAAUUUCCCAGUGGCAAAACAGAAAUUCCUUUUGAAUUUCCUCUGCACGUGAAGGGUAACAGAGUUCUGUAUGAGACUUACCACGGCGUGUUUGUCAACAUUCAGUAUACCCUGCGCUGUGACAUGAGGCGGUCCCUGCUGGCCAAGGACUUGACCAAGACCUGUGAAUUCAUCGUUCACUCUGCUCCUCAGAAGGGGAAACUGACUCCGAGUCCCGUGGACUUCACUGUCACACCUGAAACCUUACAGAAUGUCAAAGAGAGAGCCUUGCUUCCCAAAUUUCUCAUCAGAGGACAUCUCAACUCGACCAACUGUGUUAUCACACAGCCGCUAACGGGAGAGCUGGUGGUGGAGAGCUCGGAGGCCGCCAUCAAAAGCAUCGAGCUGCAGCUGGUGCGCGUGGAGACCUGCGGCUGUGCAGAAGGGUACGCCCGCGAUGCCACAGAGAUUCAGAACAUUCAGAUCGCCGACGGGGACGUGUGUCGGGGCCUCUCUGUCCCCAUAUACAUGGUCUUCCCCCGGCUCUUCACCUGCCCGACACUGGAGACCACCAACUUCAAAGUGGAGUUCGAGGUUAACAUCGUUGUGCUGCUUCACCCUGAGCACCUCAUCACAGAGAACUUCCCGCUGAAGCUCUGCAGGGUGUAGCCGGGAACAGGUGGAAAUGCAGCCGUGCCGACCUACGGGAGCUGAAGCCGGCGGCACCGAACUUGCUUUCUUGAUGGUUCUGUAUCAGAAAUGAGUCUGACCCUUCUUCCUCAUUCCCUCGAGGCCCCUCUAGUCAGAGCUUCCCUUUGAAAUUCGUCAGGAUUUCUUCAUGGCGUUGGCAAGAUUGCAUCCCAGACAGUAAAUUUCCUGUGACUCCUGACUAACCUGCUCCUUUUUAGGUUCAGAGCACAGUUGUAACAGAGUCUGAACUUUGCUGGAAAGUGAGGUCAGGGACAAAGGAAACCGCCUGUCUGGCCGAUGGUUGUGGCCAGGGCUCCCGACAGCUCCCCGACCCCGCAGGGUGGCGACAGGCGUGCUGGUUGCUCAUGACGUUGGCGGACGCCCGCCAAGGAGGGCGCCGUGGUGCCCGCUGCAGAUGCGCAGAGUGUUUCCCACUCUGUUCUCUUUUAUAACAUUUGUCGUGAUAACUUCAGAACUUCUGGGGACCUGGGGAAAGUGUGCUUUGCCCUCCCGGGAGUGAGGGGAUCUGGUGACCACGGCUGGUGCUGGAGUAUUUCUGAGUCUCAGGACCUGGUGGGAAGUUGCCUGCUGCCGUCUUCCCAGAGUCCGUUUAAGUGCGAGGUUCUGUCGGGGAUAAAAACACGUGUCCACGCCCGUCGUUGUUGCCUGGGUUCUGAGUGGCAGGGGACCCGGGCCCAGGCCAGCAGUGAAGACCCCUCUGUGCUGGGCGGGACCUGGACCUGAUGAACUUGGCCCACCUCCAUCCCACCUGAGGGACCUGCGUUGGUGGGGUGGGGGGAGGUAGUUUGGCCUGAAGCCAUUUUCUCCCUCGCCUCCUGUGGGGACUUGCAGUGUAGGGUGGGUCUGUUGCAACACAUUUCUUCCUUCACAUCCUGCUGUUGUUUCUCUGGGCCCACAAUUAACCUCAGAAGUAAGCCGCGCACUGUGCACGCUGCCUGGCCUUCCUCUCCUGAGGGAAUAACUAUCACCUGAAGAGCUGCCAGCAGCCCGGCCGCCUUUAUCAUUUUGUUCAACCUCGAGGGGCCCGGGUGAGGGCCAUUUCCUUGCCCUUCUUGGACGGGCACCUCCACCAUCAGUUAUUAAGGAAAACUUGGACGUUUGGGUGUCUUGGGCAGCAGCAGUCCCACUACUGCCCUGGCUGGAGCUGGGGGUGUCCGUUGUCAGGUUCUCCCGUUACAGCAGGGGCAAGGGGAGGUGAAGGAAAGAGGCCGUGAACCUAAAACAGUACGUUUUUUUGGGAAAUGCCGGGUUAGGCAGGAGCACCUCUGGCUCUUGGAGCUCCAGCGGAAAUGGGGCCUCGCUCUGGUUCUCAGCCACAUCGUGAGUUCCACAGGAAAGGUGGAGAGGUCGGUCAGAAAUAAAGCGUUUAAAAAAGAAGCCAAAAUAUCGUGCCUGACUUCACCCAGAGCUCAUGUCCCGAGCCCACCUGCUCCGGUAGCUGGGGGGAGGAGGGUCCCUGGUGUCAUUUCUGCCUUCUUCGUUGAGGCCCAUAAUUCCCGAGCCUGAGUCUGAAUUACCUUUAAAACCUUUGGGGUAAGACUACCCCCACCUGCUGGCGGCGCUUUGGGCUGUGGCAGAUCACCAGUGCUUCCACAGCCCCCCCUCUGAUUCCCUUCCAAGUUCAGAAAUAGAGUUGCAUUUCCGUGGAGCCAUGCCCACUUUACUGGGGACUGACUUCCAACUCCUUUGCAGCGGGGUGUGGUCAUGUGACAGGGAGGACCUGGGCCCCUUCCCGCGGCUGGCCGAGAACAGGCCUGCUCCCCACCCAGACCGUGCCGAGCACAAGGAACGUGUGAGCAGAACAGCUGGCCUCCCGCCUGUGUCGCGGUCACCGGAAAGGGAAAGGAAUGGGUCCUCUUCAGAGCACGGGAUUGCCGGGUGUCUGGGCUGCAGCAGUCCUGCCCUUUCCUGCCCUGGAGCUUGUGACGUAGGGUCCGGUCCCACCCGUGCCUCUCGUACAGCCCGAGGUCCACACGCAUGUAGGAUGAAGAAAUACUCCUUCAUCUUCAUGCCCACCCUCUGCAUCAAGAUUCUUAGGGGUCCAGGACCUUGCCCGGGCCCAGCUGGUCAAACACCAGGGCGGGUGUAGACCAGCACUCCCCGGAGCUGUUGCUGAUCUCAUCCAGCCACCCCAGGACCCAGCUGACCCAGCCCUACCCAGUAAAACCUCCCUGACCAGAGUGGAAGGAAAACAGGCUGGUUUUCACUGUCACUAACUGUUCUAGAGAUCUAAAAGAUUUGGUUAGGUUUUCCUGGGAGAAGUGUCAAUGCCAAGAUAAAUUCUGUGAUGACAGCUGUGACGCAGCCCUUUCAUCCUGUGUUCUGGGAGGAGAGAUGCCACAGGCUGGCGAGUAGGGUGCUACUGUUGUCUGGUGCUGGUUCCCACACAUCCUUGAAACCUGCAGGAACUGCUUUCUCAAGUGAGGCCGCCCUCCCUGAGGGCUGGGCCGCUCCCACUCAGGGGGCUCCACGCAGAUGGUUUGCAGUUGCUGGAGUGUUGAUAGAUACCAGCCAUGUCUGUGCAUCUAACGAGAGCAGGAGCUCUGUGAGCAUUCAUUGUUAUUCUGGAUCAGACCCUGUGCUGAGUGCCAUGCAUGUAUUAUCUUAAUUGUGUAGCAACACUAUGAGGAGGGAACUCUUAUCCCCAUUUAAAGAUGAGGGGAUUGCGGUUGAUGGAAAGACACAAAGACAUAAUUUGUGCCUGCUUCUUCAAGACUCAUCAGAUUUGGGGGAGCAUCUGCUUAUUGAAGACCAAGGGCUGAGAUAACACUAGAAUGUUUGGUUGCUUGUCAUCUGGAUCAACUGUCCUUUCUCCAAAAGAGGCCUCUGUUUGGUUCCCUUGACAAAGUCCAGUAGUGGCAGGAGGCUCCGUGAAGGUCCACGAAGAAGCAGCUCCAGAGAAAAGGAUUUCUGAGAGAUGAGGGUGUGACCGUUGUCUUCAUGCUCUAAGAUAGUAGCAGCUAGCUCCAGCCAUCACAUCUGCAUUCCAGGCAUCAGAAUGGGAGAAAGGAUGAAGGUGAAAAAAGGUCAAAGGUCAAGUACCAACUCUAUUGAGGAUCAUCUUGAUGGAUGCCAUAAGGUAUAUGUUAUUUUAACCUUUUAUUUUGGAAAUUUCAAAUGUAUAGAAAAGCACAGCGUCAUAUAGAUUAUGUCAUACCCAAAAGAUGUCUAUUUGUUAACAUCUUUAUUGAAACAUAAUUCAUGGACCAUAAAAUUUACCCAUGUAAAGUACACAAUUCAGUAGUUUUAGUAUACUCACAGAGAUGUGGAACCAUCACCAAAAUCUAAGUUUAGAUUAUUUCCUUCACUCUAAAAAGAAAGCCUGAAGCCAUUAGCAGUCAGUCCCUUCCUCUUCAGCCCCAAGCAACCACUAAUUUACUUUCUGUCUCCACAGGUUUGUGUAUUCUGGGUAUUUCAUGUGAAUGGAAUCAUACAUUGUGUGGUCUUUUGUGACUGGCUUCUUUCACUUAGCAUAAUGUAUUUAAGGUUCAUUUGCAUUGCAACGUUUGUCACUACCUCAUAACUGCUUUAUUUUUGGGGGGGGUGGGUAGCAUAUUUUAAGAUUUAUUCAGUCCCAUAGUUACUUUCCAAAGUUGUCCAAGAAAGCUAAAAAGAAGCAGUUGGGAAGGGAAAUGAUGAGACGUUUGAAGUUUGAGUCAGUCUGAUCUCAGUAUGUCCAUCCCAGCUUAGUUCUAACUCAUUUGAAGAUAACUGUAGUUUUUCCCUGGUUUAAAAUGGCAAUUCACAAAGUAAGAAUCAAUCAAGCUGUUUCCCAGUGAAUGACACUGAGCUUCACCAAAAAACUACCCUCAAGGAGCAAAAAGGCUACAAAGUAAGGAAUCAUUAAACUGACAUUCCUGAAAUGGGGAAUUCCUUGUCAAGGUGAGCCAUCCAUACACUCAUUGCAUUUGAGGCAGCUACUGAGAAAUCCUCAGCAAACCUAGAAAUGAAUUACUUAGUUCCCACAACCAGCCAAAGGACAGGUGCACACUUUCUGCCUGUCUGUGCACCACAUACAAAUGCACUACCACGUGACAACGUGGGGUUUUACAGUUUUUUCCACAGCAAGACAGUAAGUCUUUCCACAAAGUCUAGAGCAGGGCUUUGGUUUUGGUUCUUUCUGGUAUUCUAACAUUGAUACCUGUUGGGACAUUGUGAAUAAGAGGUUAGUAUGAGUGCUUUGCCGUGUCACCAUGAGCCCGGGUUCAGCCAUAGUCGUUGUGGUUCUGAACUGCAGUACAGGGGUCUCUUAGAGUCCAGUCUCUUGCCCUCUUUGGCUCUCUGUCUCUCUCUCUGUCACAUCUACUUCUGCCUCUGCUGACAUCUUGGCAUGCUGGCUGUCAAGUGCAGCGCCGCCUCUUAGUCUCCUCCCAACGGCCAUGCCUGGACCAGCCCCUCAGCCGCCUCGUGCUCCUUCUGUCUUGGCCUUUCUUUCCCUCCCCCUCCCUCGUAAGUUUUUUUUUUUUUUUACAUUUUUAGAUGUAUUUUUUAAAUUAAUUUAUUCUAACAGUCAUUAAUUCCACAAUUAUUUAUUAAAUAGUUUUAUAUGUGGGGCAUUGUACUAAGAACUAGGGCACUGAGAUACUUAUUUCUUGUGUAACUCUAAGCAAGAUAACUGAAUUCCAUAAGCCACAGUUUUCUCAUUUGUAAAAUGGGACCAAUGAUAAUACUUAUUCAUAAGAACAUCAUGAGAAUUAAAUGCAGUACUAUAUGUAUAUAUGUAUAUUACUGCAUUUUAUUUAUAUAGUGUUUGAAUAUAUACAUAGGAAUACAUAAAGUACUUGAAUUAAAAAAACUGUAGAGUCUUAAGUUGUCACUCAGUAGGUUGUUAAUUUAA